AAAUUGGACAUGAAAUAAUUACACUAGAUGUGGUACAUUAUAACAUGUCAUUGCCUUCAGAAAGAAUGCAAAAUAUAGAAAAUGUAGAUGAGUGCAGACAUGCGCAUACAUCCACACAAGCACACAAGCACAGACACAAUACAUUGCAUGCUCUAUUACCAGGGAUACGAGGCGUCAUUACCAAAGCGUGGCAGUCGGCUCAUAUGUCCCACUGACAUUGUCUAAGUACAGAAAGGUAGCGUGAACAACAAGAGAGACUUACAGUGAGGGAAUGUGACAGAGACAUCACCGUGACAAGGCUAACUGCCGUGCCUUUGUGCAGGGAGACACCGAUGACGCACACAAUAAAAGGCCAGGGAGAGAAAGAUGAGAGAAUAAUAGUUGGACGUUGGGUAAGUUUUCACUGAAUUCCUGAAUUACACAUCGCUACUGUUAUGCGAAAACCCUUGAUACCAUUUUUUUAAUGUUAAUAAAAAAAAAUAAUUACAGUACAUGUCUUGCUUCUGUGUGAACUUGGAAAAUGUGUCAGUCCUCAGGCUUCUGAAAGGUAAGAUCAACUCUAUUAAAUAAUCUCACAAAAUUAGCACCCAAGUCAGGGGACAAGCUCGGUUUUCACACUGACAAGGUGACAUUUUGGAGAUACGAGGUUUUCACCUAAUAGUAAUGUUAUUCCAUCAUCACCCCUGAGGUGGAAAAUUUGCAGUCUUGUGAAAAACAUUUAAAUAUGAGAGGUUUUCCCAUAACAAUAAUGUGUGUGUGUGACAGAAACAGUGAAAAAUGAAGGCGCAGAUAUGCAUGCAGAAUCUGCUACACACACUUUAUAUUUUGUGCAUGUCCUACUAAAGCAGAGGUGGCAGCAAAUCAAUGAUGAACGCAUGUUAUUGUAAAAACUGCAGUGACACUAGUUAUGCCUAAUGUUGCACUGCUUUCAUCAUCAUGUCGCACCUUUUCUGUUUGUCACACAGCCUCGUAUUAAUUCUGCAGACCAUGAAUAAGGCUCCACCUUAGGGACAUCUCAGAUUCCUCGUCACACUAAAUAAUGGAUUCAUAUCAGUGAAUGAGAGCGCUGAACGGUUAACCUCACCCCUUUCCCUCCUCUCUGAAGCCACAUUGCCAAAUGAGCCAAUCAGACACUCACAUCCGCUUGACCACCUCCAGCAGGCUCCUCCUCCUCUUCCUCUGAGAUUAUAUAGUCUAUGAACAUCGGCUUCACAACGCACUCACACCGUGCUGCUGCGAGCAGCUCAGGAGACGAGGCAGCACUGAGAACAUUUACCUAUUGAUGGACACUGAAAACAAAAGUUGCAGGCACAUGCUGGCGUCAAGUACUGAAAACAACAACAGCAGCAACGUCACCGGCAUUGACAGCAGCUUCAGAGAAACCCCCUGUAGCGUCAUAAUCGGCGGCAGCAAUCAUCGGACGCACGCUGAGAGGACCGUCGCCGCCAACAGACAGCCUCUCUCACUUCAAGGACAGCAGCUCUGAGAUGGGCUGCUCGUCGGGCCGACAGCCCCCAGCCCCGGUCCUUCACCCGGACUUGGACUGCGGCAACAGCAGUGAGGCCAACACUUUGCCCCAGGACUGUGAGAACCAGAACCAGGGUUUGAAUGGCUUUAGAGAAGGAGGAGAUGGCGAGGGAAGUGUUGGAAGGUGCCAGGCCAAACCUCCAGAGUCUCUCCCCACACUGGAGAGACUUGCCCAGGCCACAGGUGGGACUGAGAAGUCCUGGUACCGCUGCGUGUUCCCAUUUGGUGUGAUUUCUCUUGUGAUCGGCAUGGCGGGUACCGGAGUGACGUUCACCUUUGACACGCUUCUCCAGACCAAAGUGGUGUCAGUGGCACUGCUGUGUGUUGGUGUAGUGAUGCUGCUUGUGGCAGCUGUUUGUUGGAGGGCUCACAGACUGAGGAAGAAGAAAAAGAAGGAAGGAGGAUUCUUCACUGCUGACCAGGGUACUUUGUGAUGGACAGUGGAGUUGAGGUCUGGACAGACCAUGCUGAGUUUUUGAAUGAGAGAGAAAACUGAGUUGUAGGGCGACGCAGGACUUUCUUCUGCACUACAGCAGACUGAAAAAGAGUUGGAUGAUAUUUCUGUGCCAGGGAAAUGUUGUGACAGCUUUUCACAGAUAUGUAUUCAGAAAACACAACUUUAGCAAAGGCACCACAACCAUCCUGAGCUGACACACAGGGUAAAGCAUGCGUCAUACUAAAACCUCCCCUUGUCCUGUCCUGACACUUCCUAUUAUGGAUUUACCCAGAGAUCAAGUAGAGAGCAGAGCUAAGAGCGCAGUAUAGAUCAUUGCUACAAGCCUGGUCUCUUUGCGUAAGGGAAAUGCAUGAGACAUAGGCACCUCAGGAAUAGUUAUUUAAUACCUCCUGACCUUUCCCAUGCAGUUUAAUGGAUAAAUAGGUAUGUCUGUGUGGGACAGGAGAGUUACAUAUUCACAGAUAUAUGCCUGUCAGGAACAUCUGGGUUAGCUGACCAGAGCAGAAGUACUUAGCAAACUUGAGGAGGCAGCAGUCCUUAUUUCUACCAAACAAACUAUCUUGAAAGAGUUGCUCACAACGGCAACUGCUGGAUUUAAAUACGAUUUCCUCUCACUUCAAAAGACGUGCUAUUAUCUACAAAACUUUUUCUCCAGCUGUUCUAGUGCUGCUUCUGCUUUUCAUUAGGCAAAAGCAGCAGGCAGCAGUGAGGGGCCCCAUCUGAAAAAGGAUGGCAGCACAGAAUCAGGCAAAGUGAUGCAGAACAUGCUACUCAGCAAUUUCACCUAGGGUGAUGAUUACUACUUAUCAUCUACACAUCAUGUACCUGUCAGAGACGUCAACACUUAAACCUUCCUGCAGGCUUUGUGGUAGUUAACCACAAUCCACCUUUGUCAGAUCAAUAGUAAUCACCACUCUGUGAUAUAUUGAUCUAUUGUAGGUAGUGAGCUGCAUUUCCACUCCACGCUGUUAAAAUUGCUUUUCCAAGCACUCUUAGACUUGUCACACAUAAUUUAUAGACAGUAUGACAAGGAAAUCCCAGGAAAGACCAACAAAGACAAAGCUUAUAAAAGCCACGUCCUUGCCUCCCACUGAACCAAACAGAGGCGAUACCACUGGACGUUUAGAUGUGAGCAGCGAGAGGGAAAUCAAUUCUUUUACCCUCCAUUCUCCUGCUCUCUGGAGAACAACUUACCCUAUUGUUUAUAUAAGCUACUGGAUGGGAGACAUGGAGAUUAAGUUAACGCUUCCUUGGGCUCAGACUUAACCAGGUUUAACUGGUCAGUCCUCAUUGAUCGGGUUAGCUUCAUAGAGUGGUGGCUGUUGUGAAAACCCGUCUCAAUGGAUUUGUCCUGAAUAUUGUUCUUCUUACACACCAUAUUACUAUACCAGAUGACUCUAUCUUUUAAACAACUAGCUAUCUGACUGAGAACCCUCAGAAUGUAGCAGAAAGUUAACCACAAUAGAACACGAGCCUUAGCAGCAGUUGAUGUGGUUUUGAGGAAAACCCAGCAGCUUUGUGUUAGCCGUAGCGAUGUUACUGUAUAAGACUGAUUAUUAUAUAUAUCUUUGAUAAAAUGUUUACCGAGCAUCACAUGUGGUCCAACUUGGUCACGACAGUUCUCAUGUGGAGCAGCAGCUGUGGAAGUGUGUCUGUGUGCGUGCGUGCGUGCGUGCGUGUGAAUCUGCAUGCGUGUACCAGAGCUACACUUAACCUUUUUACCCUUGUCUCCCAACAUCCUCAUCCUUAUCUAGUUUCACAAGCUUCUUUCAAGCUUUGCUCAUACACUCUGAGAUAGUCUAAGAUCGUCCUUCACGGCAUUGAUAUGUUCAUAUGUGUGCACACGUUUUUGUUCUAAAAUACUCUGUAUUCUUCUAAAUGACAUAUCAUAAAGACUGUAGGCCCUGAGAGUGUAGCCACAUUUCUGAAUGUACCUCCAACAGUGAGUGUCUUACGAGCAUCCUUGUACAGUGUGUAAAAACUAUUUAUGUAUCUUCUAUUUUGAGUAGACAGAGAUUUAGACACAGAGGACAAUAUGUAUCUAUUUGAGGCACUCUCCUUAACUCCUGUUUUGUUUCUGUUCCAACAGCUGCCUGUUUGUAACAAUUUCAAGUGUGCUGCCGCAGUGUGAAUUGUAAUUGUUUCAUUCCAAAAUGAGACAUCUGCCAUUGAAAUAACCGUCACAGAUAAUGUGGAAUUUUUUGUUAAAGUGAAGCACACAAUUAGUUGAUUUUUAUGGACAGAAACAUAUUCUGUUGUUUGUUUUUUUACACAGUGGUUUUUGGAAUGAAAUUAUGGAGUUGCUUAAGUAAUUGUGGUCAAUUUGCUUUGAGUUUAUUGGCAUGGUCAAGCUUUUCUCUGAGUGCCUUUUACUCGCUAUGUCGAUAUUUCUACGUAAGGUGCAGUCAGUGUAAGCUGUGCAGGCCUACUGGUGCCAACAAUAGAGUAGUCCAAAAGAGAAGCAGAAAUACUGCAGUUUAUUUCAGUCUGUGUGAGUGCUAUGGUGUGCAUGAAGUUUCCUUUAAGUCACAGUUUGAUACAGUUCCUUUAGUAAAAAUGGACAGGAAUACCAAAUAUAUUUAUUGAGAAGUUUAUUUUUUGUCUCUGUAAUGUCUGUAAGAUUGUACAAUUUUCCUCAUAUACUGUUCAGCUUCUGAAGCACUGAAUUAAAUGCAAAGGUUGAUUUUGGAAACAA
This is a long non-coding RNA of Acanthochromis polyacanthus (spiny chromis), 4679 nucleotides long. RefSeq lists it as uncharacterized. Lineage: Eukaryota; Metazoa; Chordata; Actinopteri; Pomacentridae. The transcript is spliced from 2 exons. The record is from RefSeq and is a predicted model, not a curated record.